Molecule: small nucleolar RNA, 106 nt
Organism: Elaeis guineensis (African oil palm)
Lineage: Eukaryota; Viridiplantae; Streptophyta; Magnoliopsida; Arecales; Arecaceae
Source: RefSeq, a predicted model, not a curated record
ACUGCAUGAUGUGGGCAUUUUUGAAUUAGGUCCUUUUGCCUCUCCCAUGUUUCGUGGAAUAUUUUUUCAUCUAUUUGGGAAAAACUGGUUAUCGUUUUUCUAAUCU